This is a long non-coding RNA of Dama dama (fallow deer), 482 nucleotides long. RefSeq lists it as uncharacterized. The transcript has 4 exons. NCBI's taxonomy places the organism in Eukaryota, Metazoa, Chordata, Mammalia, Artiodactyla, Cervidae. The record is from RefSeq and is a predicted model, not a curated record.
CUAAAGUGACUUAGCACAUGCAUAUCUCUUGGAAACAGAUAUACCUGGGUUUUGCUUAAAAACCUAAUCUGAAAUUCUGUCUUUGAAUUGGGAAAUUUAUCUGUCGCCAUUUACCAGGAAAAUGGAAACAUUUGGUCUCACUCUGAUAUCCCUGAGAACAUUUUCUGACUCUGGUCUAGAACACGCGUCAGCAUGAAUCAGCGCUUCUGUUAGUACACCUCCACGACCACAAAGCCCACCAGUCUGGAACAGAAGUCAGCCUCCAGCGCCCCGGCAGACACUGGUGAGCGCUCCCGCUAACCACAGCAUGGCGCGAGGCCUGAACGCCGGCCCCAGGAGCCAGAAAUGCCGCAGGGCCUGCCAGGGCCCACGCUGGCUCCUCGCUGCCUCUGAAUGAACUGCUCGAAGACCAAGGAUGAGCUGAGAGAUGAGAAGCCCGGAGAACUGGGCUGCAGGGGGCGUUGGGAAGCCCCGGACACAUC